RNAcentral lists this unclassified non-coding RNA (319 nucleotides) under uncultured Sebacina. RNAcentral describes it as "sequence contains 5.8S rRNA gene". The record is from RNAcentral. Lineage: Eukaryota; Fungi; Basidiomycota; Agaricomycetes; Sebacinales; Sebacinaceae.
GAACGCACCUUGCACCCUUUGGUAUUCCGAAGGGUACACCCGUUUGAGUGUCAUUGUACUCUCACGCCCAAAGGUUUUCGAACCAGAGGGACCGUGGACUUGGACGCCUUGCCGCUUCACUGCGACACGUCUCAAAUGCGUUAGUAUGACCGGCUUGCGAAAGCGUCAUCUGGUGUGAUAAGCAUCUUCACCGGAGUUCAGGGGACCCUCUCAGAGGAACCCGCGCUCAGCUCGCCUUUGGUCGGCUGCCAACUGUCCGCUCUGGACAAACCUUGACAAUUUGACCUCAAAUCGGGUGGGACUACCCGCUGAACUUAAG